AGCAUUUAAAAUGUAUCCAGGUCAACCAACUUACAUUAAUAACAUCCACACUUGAGAGGCGGCAGCUGGAAAUAAAGGGUUUUACUCGACUAUCAGAUGGCAUAAAGAGUCUGCUGCCACAUUGUUUGUGUUCCUUUGCUAAGUUCCAUUGAGUGUACUUGCAGCUUUUUGACCAAAGAAGCUUGCCGUAGGAAGUCAGGAAGUGUCAGUCAGCAGGUGCUGCAGAGGCAGCUAACCAGUUUUGCUUCCCACUUCUGGUUCCUUCGACAGUUUGAAUUACACGGAUCACGUCUUCCAUCCUGCAGCAGCUCCAUCAUGGGCAUCUAGGCUGGAGCAAUGGAGCCAAACCAAAGCAAAUCAUCACAGACACUGAGUGGAAACAUUUCCUGUACAUCACCAAGAUGUGAUCCUGACAAGCUGCGGAGCAGAGAUUAUCACUGAUGCUUGACUGCUUUCUGACAGUCAUUUCAACUUGAAGUGAGAGAGAGCCCGACGGUCCGUGAGUCCUGCUGGUUUAUUCCUGCGCUCACUGAAACCUGCCCCGCGCUGCGACGCACAUCUGCGCCCGGACCGCCUUCCCCUCUGCGCUGCCGUUGGACGGAAGGACUGUCAGUCUAGCUACCGGCGAAUAGGCACGCGCCACCUACUGAGCCGUGAACGUCAGGACACUGUUUCAUGAAGCCUCACCAGCCCAUCACGACUCCCUCAGCUCAUCCUGAGGCGUCAUCCUUGGUGCUUGACCCGCCACACCACCAGCAGUGCACAGACUGCCACGCCAGCAGCAAGCACCAAGUGCUUCCCAUGAGAGGUCAGUAAGCCAGGAGGGGUCUUCUCAUGUGAAGAGAUGGUGGCACUGGACUUACCGUCGGCAGCUGGCAUCUCUGAGCCUGAAGGCUUUUCAACCUCUCUGAUCUUCAGAGGUUGUUUGAGCGAGCUUUGUCCAGCCAUGUUGAGCCUCCACGGCUCCUCUGCCACCUGCCCCACGAUCUCCUGCAGACUCUGUGAGGGGGAGCCCACAGGACCACAGCUCUCCACGUGGUCGCUGAUCUGAAGGCUAACAAGGUUGCUGAAGGGCGGCUCCUCCACUGUGCCGGGUGUGGGAUGGACUUGCUCCGGUGGUUGGAUGCUGCAGAGCUGAGUGGGUUUGCUCAGACUCACGGAGGUGUCAGAGCAGGUGCUGGCCUCUUCAGCAGGAAGACCAUGAGGAGUUGCAGUUGUUUUGGCAGAGCUUGACGUUUCUCCAGGCACCUGCAGGAGAAAGCAAAUAUCUGGAUACCAGGUGGGGCGAGGCUACCUGGCGACUCCCGGAGGAGAUCAAGGCCCACACUGAUGGCCUCAGCUAGUUCAACUCAGAACCACCGAUUUCCAUGCCAGAAGCUGAACUACAUGCAGGUGCUAGUAUGAUAAAGGCUCACCUUCUCAGUAGGAGGCUGUGAUGGAGGCACAGGGUGAUGUGCAAAGGUGGCGGUGGCGGUGGCGGCGGUCUCCAGUGGCGGGGUGGUGUCCUGAACUGGGGGUUUCUCAGGAGUCCUGAUCAGGAACGACACUUCUUGGGGGACAUUGGUGAUAUUAUGGUUUGGAUUUGAACUUCUGGCUGGGGUUACUGGAGCGGGACCUUCGAUUUUAUUAACGGAAUCAUCUCUGGUUGCACGACCCGGAGACAGUCCUGAAGUCUGGAUGAAGGAGUUUUCCUCCGGCUCCUGGUGAAGUCUGAUCUCCUCCACUGCGGCCGGAGGAGGCUGCUCAUGACGGGUCUCAGGUGUGCGUGGAGUCGGGGGCGAGGGCGCCACCAUCUGAGGGACACGGGAAGUGGUUACUGCGGCUUGUUGAGUCGGCGUCGCUGCAGAUUCCAAGGAAGGAACCGCAGGAGCAGAAGGAGCUGACGGAGCAACUGGCUGAUUUUUCACUUCGGUUUCUGAGACAGGAAAAUGAUUGGCAGGAGAGUUUGGGCUGAAAGGAGUCUGAGGAGAGACAGGUCUGGGAUCUAGUAGGAAGAAAAAAAGAAAGCAAAUUAGUCUGCUUUACUACAGAAGCUUGAGCUCAAAUCACAUUUGUUUCAACACUCCUCUCACUUGAUCUUGGUGAUGCCCAAACAGCACCACUCUUUUCUGCCCAACAGAAUGUGCAACACGUUCUGUUGGGCAGUUGAUAUUCUGAGCUCUUCCCUGAUCUUUUUUGAAACAAUGACUGCAAAACACUCCCACUUUCACCUGCUCCCAAUCCCUGCCUCGAGCACCACAAGCCUGAAGCCCAAACCUUCACCACUAAGAGGUAAAUCACCACAGGUGGCUCCGUACACAGAAACUCUACGGAAACUUACAUUUCAGUUUGCUGUAUUCUGCCCGGAUCUCGGCUGCGAUCGCCCGGUGCUCACACUUUUCCAGAGCUUGGAUGAACUGAUCCGGCCAGUUGUCUCUCCUCUUCAAACAGUCCAGCAGUUCCACCACCGCGUCUUGAUUGCUAACCAUCUCCCGUUUGGCCCCGAUUGUUUCCUGAGAUUAGAGAUGAUGACCCAAAUCUUAAGGCUUCGGUCUGUGCCAGCGCAGUAUUCCAACAUCAGCAGAGCUGGAGUCUGAGGCUGUGGUUCUCAAAGAGAGACAGUGCAGCUCACCUACCCUGUCAUGCGCCGUCAGGCACGGCAGAUGUGGAAGGAUCUCCCUGACCUUCACUUUGGUCACUAGCUUAGCCAAAUUGCGCCGCACGUAACCGUCGUACAGUUGGUCGUCUGCGUAUGACAUCUAGAUAAAAAAGAAAACACCAUUAAAGACAGUAGAAGUGCCAAUAAACAUGAAAAGGCUGAAUAAGAUUCAACACUUUAGCAUCCAUUUUGAAUCGAAAAUAAACAGUUUCUGUUGCAGAUAAAAGUAUACAUAGAUGACAUCCGUGGAAUCACAGCGUGAAGGACAAGACAGCUUCGAUUUGGAAAGUAAAACCGAAACUAAAAGAUGUCCGAACAUCUUGGGUCCAAAACUGCUGGAAAAAGUUUCAAAACUGGUUUGAAUUGACAGUUUCUAACAACAUUUUUAUUCUGUUUGUUUAAACCUUUUGACCUAAUUUAUUGUUACGUCUUACGAAGUCUUAUUAUUAUUAUUAUUUUAAUUGAGAUAGAAUCGCAAGUUAGAUGAUGAUACAAACAUACAAAGUCCGUCCACCGAGACACUAACCAGCGACCCGCUGAUUGCUAACCUCUAAAAUGCGACUGCCAGACACUCACCUUGUGUUUUUGAUAUUUUCUGUCACGAAAUCUUCCAGUCACUGAACUCGUCUCUGCUUCCUGACAAGCGGCCGCAGCCGUUGGCCAAUAGAGCCGUCGCUCUACGUCAGCUGAGUGGGCGGGGCCAACCAACAGCACGCAAAACGUUUGACUUGCAACAAAUUAGCUAUUAAUAAUCGUAUUGUAUAUGUCGAGUAUUUUUAGUUUGGCAUCACUUUCACUGUCACUUUAUUUAUUAUCUCUUGUAAGCGGACCGAUCCAAUGAAAUCUCCGCCCCCUCAGGACAAAGACAGCGGCCCAUUGGUUCUUUGUUUGAUGGACGGUGUUCUGGUCCAAUCGCAGCUGGACCUACACACCGCGCUGCACAGGGUCGGAGCAGAGACUCAGUUUGGAAUGAGCCGAAUUGCGAACGGGUUAGGAGGGAAGUUCCGUGAGGGAAGUUUCGUGGUAAAAGAAGGAGAAAUCUCGUGCUUCAAAUGUUUGAAAUAUUCUGAUGCUGCAUUCGCGAUAGGUUGUAGCACCUGCUGUAUCAGCAGCCGGCGAGAUUUGGAGGAAGAAGGGCGUGUGUUUCUCUGGGAUUCACGCGCAGCAUUGAACUGCAGGUACACCAGAGGUUAGCGACACAGUUCGCUUUCAAAACAACAAGGUGGAGUGGUUUUACUCCAGUUCAUCUUCGAUUUGGUCUCAGGACAAGUACACGUUCUUAUGAAAUGCUUGUUUUAAUUUGCAAAAGGAUCACAUGGAAAUGUAGGUAUGGACCUACCGUGAUAUUCAAAAGUUUUUUUUUAAUAUCAUCUGAAUCGAUCAUACUGAACACUACCACAAUUCAGCAACAAUAACCUUUUUAAAAGCACACUGGCUAUUCACGACCAUUGCAUUCACAUUCAGCACUGAUCACGUGGACGGACAAGUCGAAGAAAAAAAUAAAUAGAUUAAUGGGAAUUACACUUAUUGGAAAAGGGCGCCACCCAGUGAGCUAAUAUUAAAUUCCACGCAUGAACAAGGUUGGGUAUUAAACGUAUUCGGAGUGACACGUGUUAUGGCGAUUCCAUUAAUAAAUAAGAUUUACCUCUUGCUUUGUUUUCAUC
Molecule: long non-coding RNA, 4302 nt
Organism: Synchiropus splendidus (mandarinfish)
Lineage: Eukaryota; Metazoa; Chordata; Actinopteri; Syngnathiformes; Callionymidae
Exons: 5
Source: RefSeq, a predicted model, not a curated record